UACGAAGGGGGCUAGCGUUGCUCGGAAUCACUGGGCGUAAAGCGCACGUAGGCGGAUUUCUAAGUCAGGGGUGAAAUCCUGGAGCUCAACUCCAGAACUGCCUUUGAUACUGGGAAUCUCGAGUCCGGGAGAGGUGAGUGGAACUGCGAGUGUAGAGGUGAAAUUCGUAGAUAUCGGGAGGAACACCGGUGGCGAAGGCGGCGACCUGGGUCGAGACUGACGCUGAGGCGCGAAAGCGUGGGGAGCAAACAGG
RNAcentral lists this ribosomal RNA (253 nucleotides) under uncultured bacterium. Its description in RNAcentral is "partial 16S ribosomal RNA". It matches the Rfam family "Bacterial small subunit ribosomal RNA", at positions 524 to 776 of the family's 1533-position model. The record is from RNAcentral.